This 72-nucleotide transfer RNA is filed under the name Candidatus Jorgensenbacteria bacterium GWA1_54_12. RNAcentral's name for it is "tRNA-Cys". It matches the Rfam family "tRNA". Rfam says of the family: Transfer RNA (tRNA) molecules are approximately 80 nucleotides in length. Lineage: Bacteria; Candidatus Joergenseniibacteriota. The record is from RNAcentral.
GGCCAGGUGGCGAAGGGGUAACGCGAUGGUCUGCAAAACCAUUAUGCAGGGGUUCGACUCCCCUCCUGGCCU